Molecule: ribosomal RNA, 650 nt
Filed under: bacterium SL5.22
Lineage: Bacteria
Description: bacterial SSU rRNA
Rfam family: Bacterial small subunit ribosomal RNA
Source: RNAcentral
GCAAGUCGAACGGUGAUCUCGGUGCUUGCACCGGGUGAUCAGUGGCGCUUUUGUGAGUAACACGUGAGCAACCUGCCCCUGACUCUGGGAUAUCUCCGAGAAAUCGGUGCUAAUACCGGAUACGAGACGCACAGGCAUCUGUAGCGUCUGGAAAGAAUUUUGGUCAGGGAUGGGCUCGCGGCCUAUCAGCUUGUUGGUGGGGUAACGGCCCACCAAGGCGACGACGGGUAGCCGGCCUGAGAGGGCGACCGGCCACACUGGGACUGAGACACGGCCCAGACUCCUACGGGAGGCAGCAGUGGGGAAUAUUGCACAAUGGGCGAAAGCCUGAUGCAGCGACGCCGCGUGGGGGAUGAAGGCCUUCGGGUUGUAAACCCCUUUCAGCAGGGAAGAAGCGAAAGUGACGGUACCUGCAGAAGAAGCGCCGGCUAACUACGUGCCAGCAGCCGCGGUAAUACGUAGGGCGCAAGCGUUGUCCGGAAUUAUUGGGCGUAAAGAGCUCGUAGGCGGUUUGUCGCGUCUGCUGUGAAAACCCGAGGCUCAACCUCGGGCCUGCAGUGGGUACGGGCAGACUAGAGUGCGGGUAGGGGAGACUGGAAUUCCUGGUGUAGCGGUGGAAUGCGCAGAUAUCAGGGAGGAACACCGAUGGC